AGUGAACGCUGGCGGUAGGCCUAACACAUGCAAGUCGAACGGCAGCACAGUAAGAGCUUGCUCUUACGGGUGGCGAGUGGCGGACGGGUGAGGAAUACAUCGGAAUCUACUUUUUCGUGGGGGAUAACGUAGGGAAACUUACGCUAAUACCGCAUACGACCUACGGGUGAAAGCAGGGGAUCUUCGGACCUUGCGCGAUUGAAUGAGCCGAUGUCGGAUUAGCUAGUUGGCGGGGUAAAGGCCCACCAAGGCGACGAUCCGUAGCUGGUCUGAGAGGAUGAUCAGCCACACUGGAACUGAGACACGGUCCAGACUCCUACGGGAGGCAGCAGUGGGGAAUAUUGGACAAUGGGCGCAAGCCUGAUCCAGCCAUACCGCAUGGGUGAAGAAGGCCUUCGGGUUGUAAAGCCCUUUUGUUGGGAAAGAAAAGCAGCAGGUUAAUACCCCGCUGUUCUGACGGUACCCAAAGAAUAAGCACCGGCCAACUUCGUG
Molecule: ribosomal RNA, 492 nt
Filed under: uncultured bacterium
Lineage: Bacteria
Description: partial 16S ribosomal RNA
Rfam family: Bacterial small subunit ribosomal RNA
Source: RNAcentral